Molecule: ribosomal RNA, 521 nt
Filed under: uncultured Methanosaeta sp.
Lineage: Archaea; Methanobacteriati; Methanobacteriota; Methanomicrobia; Methanotrichales; Methanotrichaceae
Description: bacterial SSU rRNA
Rfam family: Archaeal small subunit ribosomal RNA
Source: RNAcentral
CCUCGAGUGCCAGGUUACAAAUCUGGCUGUCGAGAUGCCUAAAAAGCAUUUCAUAGCAAGGGCCGGGCAAGACCGGUGCCAGCCGCCGCGGUAACACCGGCGGCUCGAGUGGUAACCGUUAUUAUUGGGUCUAAAGGGUCUGUAGCCGGCCGGAUAAGUCUCUUGAGAAAUCUGGCAGCUUAACUGUCAGGCUUUCAGGAGAUACUGUCUGGCUCGAGGCCGGGAGAGGUGAGAGGUACUUCAGGGGUAGGGGUGAAAUCUUGUAAUCCUUGAAGGACCACCAGUGGCGAAGGCGUCUCACCAGAACGGACCUGACGGCAAGGGACGAAAGCUAGGGGCACGAACCGGAUUAGAUACCCGGGUAGUCCUAGCCGUAAACGAUACUCGCUAGGUGUCGGCCACGGUGCGACCGUUGUCGGUGCCGUAGGGAAGCCGUGAAGCGAGCCACCUGGGAAGUACGGCCGCAAGGCUGAAACUUAAAGGAAUUGGCGGGGGAGCACCACAACGGGUGGAGCUUGCGG